RNAcentral lists this ribosomal RNA (163 nucleotides) under Ceratobasidium sp. CSLBin155. Its description in RNAcentral is "5.8S ribosomal RNA". It matches the Rfam family "5.8S ribosomal RNA". From Rfam's summary of the family: 5.8S ribosomal RNA (5.8S rRNA) is a component of the large subunit of the eukaryotic ribosome. It is transcribed by RNA polymerase I as part of the 45S precursor that also contains 18S and 28S rRNA. The record is from RNAcentral. Lineage: Eukaryota; Fungi; Basidiomycota; Agaricomycetes; Cantharellales; Ceratobasidiaceae.
GAACUAAGUUUCAACAACGGAUCUCUUGGCUCUCGCAUCGAUGAAGAACGCAGCGAAAUGCGAUAAGUAAUGUGAAUUGCAGAAUUCAGUGAAUCAUCGAAUCUUUGAACGCACCUUGCGCUCCUUGGUAUUCCUUGGAGCAUGCCUGUUUGAGUAUCAUGAA